RNAcentral lists this ribosomal RNA (515 nucleotides) under uncultured bacterium. Its description in RNAcentral is "partial 16S ribosomal RNA". It matches the Rfam family "Bacterial small subunit ribosomal RNA", at positions 28 to 523 of the family's 1533-position model. The record is from RNAcentral.
GAUGAACGCUGGCGGCGUGCCUAAUACAUGCAAGUCGAGCGAAUGGAUUAAGAGCUUGCUCUUAUGAAGUUAGCGGCGGACGGGUGAGUAACACGUGGGUAACCUGCCCAUAAGACUGGGAUAACUCCGGGAAACCGGGGCUAAUACCGGAUAACAUUUUGAACCGCAUGGUUCGAAAUUGAAAGGCGGCUUCGGCUGUCACUUAUGGAUGGACCCGCGUCGCAUUAGCUAGUUGGUGAGGUAACGGCUCACCAAGGCAACGAUGCGUAGCCGACCUGGGAGGGUGAUCGGACACAAUGGGACUGAGACACGGCCCAGACUCCUACGGGAGGCAGCAGUAGGGAAUCUUCCGCAAUGGACGAAAGUCUGACGGAGCAACGCCGCGUGAGUGAUGAAGGCUUUCGGGUCGUAAAACUCUGUUGUUAGGGAAGAACAAGUGCUAGUUGAAUAAGCUGGCACCUUGACGGUACCUAACCAGAAAGCCACGGCUAACUACGUGCCAGCCGCCGCGGUAA